GAUGAACGCUGGCGGCGUGCUUAACACAUGCAAGUCGAACGAAGCACUUAAGAUUGAUUCUUCGGAUGACGUCUUUUGUGACUUAGUGGCGGACGGGUGAGUAACGCGUGGGUAACCUGCCUCACACAGGGGGAUAACAGUUAGAAAUGACUGCUAAUACCGCAUAACCCGAUAGGAUCGCAUGAUCCAGACGGAAAAGAUUUAUCGGUGUGAGAUGGACCCGCGUCUGAUUAGCUAGUUGGUGAGGUAACGGCCCACCAAGGCGACGAUCAGUAGCCGGCCUGAGAGGGUGAACGGCCACAUUGGGACUGAGACACGGCCCAGACUCCUACGGGAGGCAGCAGUGGGGAAUAUUGCACAAUGGGGGAAACCCUGAUGCAGCGACGCCGCGUGAGUGAAGAAGUAUUUCGGUAUGUAAAGCUCUAUCAGCAGGGAAGAAAAUGACGGUACCUGACUAAGAAGCCCCGGCUAACUACGUG
Molecule: ribosomal RNA, 479 nt
Filed under: uncultured bacterium
Lineage: Bacteria
Description: partial 16S ribosomal RNA
Rfam family: Bacterial small subunit ribosomal RNA
Source: RNAcentral